This is a long non-coding RNA of Carassius carassius (crucian carp), 282 nucleotides long. RefSeq lists it as uncharacterized. The transcript is spliced from 3 exons. The record is from RefSeq and is a predicted model, not a curated record. Lineage: Eukaryota; Metazoa; Chordata; Actinopteri; Cypriniformes; Cyprinidae.
AUAUAAUUAAGAAGAAAGGCAACACCGCCACAGUGAUAAAGCAAAGAGAAAAAGCGUGGCAAAGUAUUGCAGACCGCCUGAAUGCAUUAAACAUGAACGGGCCAAAACGGACAUGGCAGCAGGUCAAAAUCAAAUACAAGAACAUUCUGCAGAAUGCAGUGAAAAAGAAUACCCACAGACAAGGCACGGGUGGUGGGUCACCAAAGGCUGACCUUACCCCAGCAGAGGACAUGGCCUUGGAGCUAAAUAAAGGCAGGCCCGUCUUAGAGGGGAUCCCUGGGG